AGUCUUAUAGUUUAAUAAAACAUUAAAUUGCAAAUUUAAUAUUGAUAAGUCUAUCUAAGACUU
Molecule: transfer RNA, 63 nt
Filed under: Atkinsoniella sulphurata
Lineage: Eukaryota; Metazoa; Arthropoda; Insecta; Hemiptera; Cicadellidae
Also listed under: 1 other name
Description: tRNA-Cys
Rfam family: tRNA
About the family: Transfer RNA (tRNA) molecules are approximately 80 nucleotides in length. Their secondary structure includes four short double-helical elements and three loops (D, anti-codon, and T loops).
Source: RNAcentral